GUGGGGAAUUUUGGACAAUGGGGGAAACCCUGAUCCAGCCAUGCCGCGUGUGCGAAGAAGGCCUUCGGGUUGUAAAGCACUUUCGGCCGGAACGAAAUCGCGCGGGUGAACAUCCCGCGUGGAUGACGGUACCGGAAGAAGAAGCACCGGCUAACUACGUGCCAGCAGCCGCGGUAAUACGUAGGGUGCGAGCGUUAAUCGGAAUUACUGGGCGUAAAGGGUGCGCAGGCGGUUCCGCAAGUCAGGCGUGAAAUCCCCGGGCUUAACCUGGGAAUGGCGCUUGAAACUACGGGACUAGAGUGUGGCAGAGGGAGGUGGAAUUCCACGUGUAGCGGUGAAAUGCGUAGAUAUGUGGAGGAACACCAAUGGCGAAGGCAGCCUCCUGGGUCAACACUGACGCUCAUGCACGAAAGCGUGGGGAGCAAACAGGAUUAGAUACCCCAGUAGUCC
RNAcentral lists this ribosomal RNA (450 nucleotides) under uncultured bacterium. RNAcentral describes it as "bacterial SSU rRNA". It matches the Rfam family "Bacterial small subunit ribosomal RNA", at positions 354 to 796 of the family's 1533-position model. The record is from RNAcentral.